This 1436-nucleotide ribosomal RNA is filed under the name uncultured marine bacterium. RNAcentral's name for it is "bacterial SSU rRNA". It matches the Rfam family "Bacterial small subunit ribosomal RNA". The record is from RNAcentral.
AGAGUUUGAUCAUGGCUCAGAACGUACGCUGGCGGCACGCUUAACACAUGCAAGUCGAACGAAGUAGCAAUACUUAGUGGCAGACGGGUGAGUAACAUGUGGGUAUCUGCCCUUUGGCCUGGAAUAACACGAGGAAACUUGUGCUAAUACCGGAUAAGUCUUUACGGAGAAAGCUUUAUGCACCAUUGGAUGAGCCCGCACUUGAUUAGUUUGUUGGUGGGGUAAUGGCCUACCAAGACUGUGAUCAAUAGCUGAUUUGAGAGGAUGAUCAGCCACAUUGGGACUGAGACACGGCCCAAACUCCUACGGGAGGCAGCAGUGGGGAAUCUUGCACAAUGGAGGAAACUCUGAUGCAGCGAUGCCGCGUGAGUGAAGAAGGCCCUUGGGUUGUAAAGCUCUUUCGUCGGGGAAGAAAAUGACUGUACCCGAAUAAGAAGGUCCGGCUAACUUCGUGCCAGCAGCCGCGGUAAUACGAAGGGACCUAGCGUAGUUCGGAAUUACUGGGCUUAAAGAGUUCGUAGGUGGUUGAAAAAGUUAGUGGUGAAAUCCCAGAGCUUAACUCUGAAACUGCCAUUAAAACUUUUCAGCUAGAGUAUGAUAGAGGAAAGCAGAAUUUCUAGUGUAGAGGUGAAAUUCGUAGAUAUUAGAAAGAAUACCAAUUGCGAAGGCAGCUUUCUGGAUCAUUACUGACACUGAGGAACGAAAGCAUGGGUAGCGAAGAGGAUUAGAUACCCUCGUAGUCCAUGCCGUAAACGAUGUGUGUUAGACGUUGGAAAUUUAUUUUCAGUGUCGCAGCGAAAGCGAUAAACACACCGCCUGGGGAGUACGACCGCAAGGUUAAAACUCAAAUGAAUUGACGGGGACCCGCACAAGUAGUGGAGCAUGUGGUUUAAUUCGAAGAUACGCGCAGAACCUUACCAACACUUGACAUGUUCGUCGCGACUCUAAGAGAUUAGAGUUUUCGGUUCGGCCGGACGAAACACAGGUGCUGCAUGGCUGUCGUCAGCUCGUGUCGUGAGAUGUUGGGUUAAGUCCCGCAACGAGCGCAACCCUCACUUUUAGUUGCCAUCAUUAAGUUGGGCACUCUGAAAGAACUGCCAGUGAUAAGCUGGAGGAAGGUGGGGAUGACGUCAAGUCCUCAUGGCCCUUACGUGUUGGGCUACACACGUGCUACAAUGGUAUCUACAACAGGAAGCAAGACUGCGAGGUCAAGCAAAUCCUUAAAAGAUACCUCAGUUCGGAUUGCACUCUGCAACUCGAGUGCAUGAAGCUGGAAUUACUAGUAAUCGUGGAUCAGCGUGCCACGGUGAAUGCGUUCCCGGGUCUUGUACACACCGCCCGUCACACCAUGGGAGUUGGUUCUACCUUAAGGCAAGGUUUAAAACCCUUGACCACGGUAUAGUCAGCGACUGGGGUGAAGUCGUAACAAGGUAACC